CGGGUGAGUAAUACAUCGGAACGUGCCCAGUAGUGGGGGAUAGCCCGGCGAAAGCCGGAUUAAUACCGCAUACGACCUACGGGUGAAAGCGGGGGAUCGCAAGACCUCGCGCUAUCGGAGCGGCCGAUGUCAGAUUAGCUAGUUGGUGGGGUAAAGGCCUACCAAGGCGACGAUCUGUAGCUGGUCUGAGAGGACGACCAGCCACACUGGGACUGAGACACGGCCCAG
Molecule: ribosomal RNA, 228 nt
Filed under: uncultured bacterium
Lineage: Bacteria
Description: partial 16S ribosomal RNA
Rfam family: Bacterial small subunit ribosomal RNA
Source: RNAcentral